AAUGAACGCUGGCGGCGUGCUUUACACAUGCAAGUCGAGCGAGGCGGCCCGCAAGGGCUAGUCGAGCGGCGAACGGGUGAGUAACGCGUGGAUUAUCUGCCCUGAGGUGGGGGAUAACCCGGGGAAACUCGGGCUAAUACCGCAUAUGACCGUGAGGUCAAAGGGGGGUCGCAAGAUCUCUCGCCAUAGGAGGAGUCCGCGUACGAUUAGCUAGUUGGUAGGGUAAUGGCCUACCAAGGCGACGAUCGUUAGCCGGCCUGAGAGGGUGAUCGGCCACACUGGAACUGAGACACGGUCCAGACUCCUACGGGAGGCAGCAGUGGGGAAUUUUGCGCAAUGGGCGAAAGCCUGACGCAGCAACGCCGCGUGGAGGAUGAAGGUCCUUGGAUUGUAAACUCCUGUC
RNAcentral lists this ribosomal RNA (403 nucleotides) under uncultured bacterium. RNAcentral describes it as "bacterial SSU rRNA". It matches the Rfam family "Bacterial small subunit ribosomal RNA", at positions 29 to 437 of the family's 1533-position model. The record is from RNAcentral.